RNAcentral lists this ribosomal RNA (449 nucleotides) under uncultured bacterium. RNAcentral's name for it is "bacterial SSU rRNA". It matches the Rfam family "Bacterial small subunit ribosomal RNA", at positions 354 to 796 of the family's 1533-position model. The record is from RNAcentral.
GUGGGGAAUCUUGCGCAAUGGACGAAAGUCUGACGCAGCGACGCCGCGUGAGUGAUGAAGGCCUUCGGGUUGUAAAGCUCUGUGGAGAGGGACGAAUAAGUGUCGUCGAAUAGACGGCAUGAUGACGGUACCUUUUUAGCAAGCACCGGCUAACUCUGUGCCAGCAGCCGCGGUAAGACAGAGGGUGCAAACGUUGUUCGGAAUUACUGGGCGUAAAGCGCGUGUAGGCUGCUUGGAAAGUCGGAUGUGAAAGCCCUGGGCUCAACCUAGGAAGUGCAUUCGAAACUUCCAAGCUCGAGUUUCGGAGAGGAAGGCGGAAUUCUCGGUGUAGAGGUGAAAUUCGUAGAUAUCGAGAGGAACACCGGUGGCGAAGGCGGCCUUCUGGACGAUGACUGACGCUGAGACGCGAAAGCGUGGGGAGCAAACAGGAUUAGAUACCCUAGUAGUCC